ACCCUACGGGCAAGCAGCAGUGGGGAAUAUUGCACAAUGGGCGCAAGCCUGAUGCAGCCAUGCCGCGUGUAUGAAGAAGGCCUUCGGGUUGUAAAGUACUUUCAGCGGGGAGGAAGGGAGUAAAGUUAAUACCUUUGCUCAUUGACGUUACCCGCAGAAGAAGCACCGGCUAACUCCGUGCCAGCAGCCGCGGUAAUACGGAGGGUGCAAGCGUUAAUCGGAAUUACUGGGCGUAAAGCGCACGCAGGCGGUUUGUUAAGUCAGAUGUGAAAUCCCCGGGCUCAACCUGGGAACUGCAUCUGAUACUGGCAAGCUUGAGUCUCGUAGAGGGGGGUAGAAUUCCAGGUGUAGCGGUGAAAUGCGUAGAGAUCUGGAGGAAUACCGGUGGCGAAGGCGGCCCCCUGGACGAAGACUGACGCUCAGGUGCGAAAGCGUGGGGAGCAAACAGGAUUAGAUACCUGGGGGUAGUCCAAGGAUUUAUUAUGCCGUUUCUUG
RNAcentral lists this ribosomal RNA (495 nucleotides) under uncultured Escherichia sp. RNAcentral's name for it is "bacterial SSU rRNA". It matches the Rfam family "Bacterial small subunit ribosomal RNA", at positions 335 to 821 of the family's 1533-position model. The record is from RNAcentral. Lineage: Bacteria; Pseudomonadati; Pseudomonadota; Gammaproteobacteria; Enterobacterales; Enterobacteriaceae.